Molecule: long non-coding RNA, 206 nt
Filed under: Mytilus galloprovincialis (Mediterranean mussel)
Lineage: Eukaryota; Metazoa; Mollusca; Bivalvia; Mytilida; Mytilidae
Source: RNAcentral
CCAUGUCAGAUUUGCUCUAAAUGCAUUGGUUUUAGAGUUAUAAGCCAAAAUCUACAUUUUACCCCUAUGUUCUAUUUUUAGCCAUGGCGGCCAUCUUGGUUGGUUGGCAGGGUCACGCCACACAUUUUUUAAAUGAGAUACCCCAAUGAUGAUGGUGGCCAAGUUUGGAUUAAUUUGGCCCAGUAGCUUCAGAGGAGAAGAUUUUU